GACGAACGCUGGCGGCGUGCUUAACACAUGCAAGUCGAGCGGUAAGGCCCUUUCGGGGGUACGACGAGCGGCGAACGGGUGAGUAACACGUGGGUGACCUGCCCUUAGCUCUGGGAUAAGCCUGGGAAACUGGGUCUAAUACCGGAUAUGACUCCAUGACGCAUGUUGUGGGGUGGAAAGCCUUGUGCGGCUAGGGAUGGGCCCGCGGCCUAUCAGCUUGUUGGUGGGGUGAUGGCCACCAAGGCGACGACGGGUAGCCGGCCUGAGAGGGCGACCGGCCACACUGGGACUGAGACACGGCCCACGACUCCUACGGGAGGCAGCAGUGGGGAAUCUUGCGCAAUGGGCGAAAGCCUGACGCAGCGACGCCGCGUGAGGGAUGACGGCCU
This 389-nucleotide ribosomal RNA is filed under the name uncultured bacterium. RNAcentral's name for it is "bacterial SSU rRNA". It matches the Rfam family "Bacterial small subunit ribosomal RNA", at positions 28 to 417 of the family's 1533-position model. The record is from RNAcentral.